Molecule: long non-coding RNA, 427 nt
Organism: Colossoma macropomum (tambaqui)
Lineage: Eukaryota; Metazoa; Chordata; Actinopteri; Characiformes; Serrasalmidae
Exons: 4
Source: RefSeq, a predicted model, not a curated record
CUUGUUUGUGUGGAUCUGUACUUUUUCUUGGCUCCAUCCUAUACACUUUUUGUAAAAAGCCCGGCAGUUGCACAGUAAUCGUACAGCGUGUUCUCGUCUUUGGUCCAAACAUUCUUAUGUUUGUGGCCUUCAUCCUUUGGGGUGUGCUUAAUGGAUUUAUCAGUGAGGCUGCCACUUGUUCAGCUGUUAAUCUUCUAAGGACUCUUUGGCUACUUGUAUUUUGUCCAUACUUUAAACGUUUUCAUGGCAUAGUCCAAUUUUCACUUAUCACAGCGGAAUGUGUUGCAUUGUCUGUAAUUGCUGCUGUAGGUAAGUACCCAUGAUUUUUACAUAUUAACACAAGAUGACAUUUAUAAAUAUAUACAUACAUAAACAAUUGGCGAAACAAAUGAAUGUCACUAUUCCACGGUCAUUAAAUAUAAUUAUU